Molecule: long non-coding RNA, 981 nt
Organism: Anopheles arabiensis
Lineage: Eukaryota; Metazoa; Arthropoda; Insecta; Diptera; Culicidae
Exons: 2
Source: RefSeq, a predicted model, not a curated record
AAGGUCACCUUGGCCGCGGCCCCUGGAGCUGCUCGCUUGCACAUUGAUUCCGGCCCGCUAGUGCGAAGGGGAUGGACGUAACCUAAUGACAGUGUGCUAGGGAGCUCUGUGUGUGUGUAUGUGAACGUGUUUGAACGUGUUCCAAAGGCAGGCGUCUGUGACGAUGGUGUUAGUAUUGUAAAGACAAGACUGCUCACGCACACAAACGCACCCACAGAAACACGUUUGAAUGGAAAGAGACCGCGUGUGCGCUGGUGAUGGGUACUCCGUAGUUCUCGGACCGACCGCGGAACCAGCUAGUGUCCCGGCUCCGAUUCCGUUGGUGAAAAUGAAUUGCCAACUCUACCAGGCAAUACCUAUAAUUGUCCGGAAUCUUUUGGAAUCAUCUGAAACCUGGACACGUUCUGAAUCGUCCUGAAUCGUCCUGAAGCGUCGUAGAAACUGCUCCGAUUUCUCCUCCGAAGCAAGAUCCAUAAAGUACUACAUGUCCUGUGUAGGAACGUGCCAUCUGGACCAUCUGAUCGCUCCAUACACUUUUAGAGGUAUGGUUAAUGGCCCAAGACAAACAUCCUCCAAAUUCCGAUGAUUUUUACCUUGUUGAUUAGCAUAAAAACCAACUAUUUAGACGCCAACCAAUGAGAAGCACAACUAAAAUAUAUCAAACCAGUGAGGCUCUACAGUAGUCUAUAUUACAUUGGACGUUAUAAAACUCUUGUCGAUUUGGUAGAAAGUAUCCCAAGUAUCACAAAAUCAACAUACUUUUUUACUCUGUCAGUUCUAAUGGUCUGUUGAGAAGACUUUAAAAAUGUAUUGGUUGCUGAAUCGUAUCAUCGACGAACUGACAAACUAAUGGAAUCGUAACAUUUGGAGUCGCAUUUGCUAACAAAACUGAAUACAAAAUAAUCCCACCUUAAUCUUAAGUCAUCUUUAAGGGCCAAACACGUGUCCAGAUUUGGAAAUAAAUACGAAACCGUUCUACAA